UACGGGGGGAGCAAGCGUUGUUCGGAUUUACUGGGCGUAAAGGGCGCGUAGGCGGCCACCGCAAGUCGGUUGUGAAAUCUCCGGGCUUAACCCGGAAAGGUCAAUCGAUACUGCGGGGCUAGAGUGCAGAAGGGGCAACUGGAAUUCUCGGUGUAGCGGUGAAAUGCGUAGAUAUCGAGAGGGACACCUGCGGCGAAGGCGGGUUGCUGGGCUGACACUGACGCUGAAGCGCGAAAGCUAGGGGAGCGAACGGG
This 254-nucleotide ribosomal RNA is filed under the name uncultured bacterium. RNAcentral's name for it is "partial 16S ribosomal RNA". It matches the Rfam family "Bacterial small subunit ribosomal RNA", at positions 524 to 776 of the family's 1533-position model. The record is from RNAcentral.